Molecule: long non-coding RNA, 150 nt
Organism: Sander lucioperca (pikeperch)
Lineage: Eukaryota; Metazoa; Chordata; Actinopteri; Perciformes; Percidae
Exons: 3
Source: RefSeq, a predicted model, not a curated record
GUAGGGUAAAACUGAGAUUAGCUCUCAUAUUCAAGUUUAUGUUCUGCUUGUUCAACAGUUGUUUAGUUAAUUGCUCUUAAACACAUUUGGAGAGGAUUUGAAUUGCUAUCUUUAUUCUCAAUUCUUAUCAUUGUGGCUCAGCUGACUUUU